GGGUAAUCUACCCUCGAGUGGGGAAUAACCUCUCUAACGAGUGGCUAAUUCCGCAUGUUACCGUUUUCUCGCAUGGGAGAACGGUCAAAGGUGGGGAUCUUCGGACCUGCCGCUCGAGGAGGAGCCCGCGUCCCAUUAGCUUGUUGGUGAGGUAACGGCUCACCAAGGCCGCGAUGGGUAGCCGAUCUGAGAGGAUGACCGGCCACACUGGGACUGAGAUACGGCCCAG
Molecule: ribosomal RNA, 229 nt
Filed under: uncultured bacterium
Lineage: Bacteria
Description: partial 16S ribosomal RNA
Rfam family: Bacterial small subunit ribosomal RNA
Source: RNAcentral